GACGAACGCUGGCGGCGUGCUUAACACAUGCAAGUCGAACGGAAAGGCCCUGCUUUUGUGGGGUGCUCGAGUGGCGAAUGGGUGAGUAACACGUGUGUAACCUGCCCUUGACUUUGGGAUAACUUCAGGAAACUGGGGCUAAUACCGGAUAGGAGCUCCUGCUGCAUGGUGGGGGUUGGAAAGUUUCGGCGGUUGGGGAUGGACUCGCGGCUUAUCAGCUUGUUGGUGGGGUAGUGGCUUACCAAGGCUUUGACGGGUAGCCGGCCUGAGAGGGUGACCGGCCACAUUGGGACUGAGAUACGGCCCAGACUCCUACGGGAGGCAGCAGUGGGGAAUAUUGCACAAUGGGCGGAAGCCUGAUGCAGCAACGCCGCGUGCGGGAUGACGGCCUUCGGGUUGUAAACCGCUUUCGCCUGUGACGAAGCGUGAGUGACGGUAAUGGGUAAAGAAGCACCGGCUAACUACGUGCCAGCAGCCGCGGUGAUACGUAGGGUGCGAGCGUUGUCCGGAUUUAUUGGGCGUAAAGGGCUCGUAGGUGGUUGAUCGCGUCGGAAGUGUAAUCUUGGGGCUUAACCCUGAGCGUGCUUUCGAUACGGGUUGACUUGAGGAAGGUAGGGGAGAAUGGAAUUCCUGGUGGAGCGGUGGAAUGCGCAGAUAUCAGGAGGAACACCAGUGGCGAAGGCGGUUCUCUGGGCCUUUCCUGACGCUGAGGAGCGAAAGCGUGGGGAGCGAACAGGCUUAGAUACCCUGGUAGUCCACGCUGUAAACGGUGGGUACUAGGUGUGGGGUCCAUUCCACGGGUUCCGUGCCGUAGCUAACGCUUUAAGUACCCCGCCUGGGGAGUACGGCCGCAAGGCUAAAACUCAAAGGAAUUGACGGGGCCCCGCACAAGCGGCGGAGCAUGCGGAUUAAUUCGAUGCAACGCGUAGAACCUUACCUGGGUUUGACAUGGAUCGGGAGCGCUCAGAGAUGGGUGUGCCUCUUUUGGGGUCGGUUCACAGGUGGUGCAUGGCUGUCGUCAGCUCGUGUCGUGAGAUGUUGGGUUAAGUCCCGCAACGAGCGCAACCCUUGUUCACUGUUGCCAGCACGUUAUGGUGGGGACUCAGUGGAGACCGCCGGGGUCAACUCGGAGGAAGGUGGGGAUGACGUCAAGUCAUCAUGCCCCUUAUGUCCAGGGCUUCACGCAUGCUACAAUGGCUGGUACAGAGAGUGGCGAGCCUGUGAGGGUGAGCGAAUCUCGGAAAGCCGGUCUCAGUUCGGAUUGGGGUCUGCAACUCGACCUCAUGAAGUCGGAGUCGCUAGUAAUCGCAGAUCAGCAACGCUGCGGUGAAUACGUUCCCGGG
This 1343-nucleotide ribosomal RNA is filed under the name uncultured bacterium. Its description in RNAcentral is "16S ribosomal RNA". It matches the Rfam family "Bacterial small subunit ribosomal RNA", at positions 28 to 1378 of the family's 1533-position model. The record is from RNAcentral.